RNAcentral lists this ribosomal RNA (502 nucleotides) under uncultured Glomus. Its description in RNAcentral is "SSU rRNA". It matches the Rfam family "Eukaryotic small subunit ribosomal RNA", at positions 569 to 1075 of the family's 1831-position model. Lineage: Eukaryota; Fungi; Glomeromycota; Glomeromycetes; Glomerales; Glomeraceae. The record is from RNAcentral.
AGCAGCCGCGGUAAUUCCAGCUCCAAUAGCGUAUAUUAAAGUUGUUGCAGUUAAAAAGCUCGUAGUUGAAUUUCGGGGUUAGUAGGUUGGUCAUGCCUCUGGUAUGUACUGGUCUCACUGAUUCCUCCUUCCUGAUGAGCCUUAAUGCCAUUAAUUUGGUGUUGCGGGGAAUUUGGACUGUUACUUUGAAAAAAUUAGAGUGUUUAAAGCAGGCUCACGCUUGAAUACAUUAGCAUGGAAUAAUGAAAUAGGACGUUUGAUUCUAUUUUGUUGGUUUCUAGGAUCGACGUAAUGAUUAAUAGGGAUAGUUGGGGGCAUUAGUAUUCAAUUGUCAGAGGUGAAAUUCUUGGAUUUAUUGAAGACUAACUACUGCGAAAGCAUUUGCCAAGGAUGUUUUCAUUAAUCAAGAACGAAAGUUAGGGGAUCGAAGACGAUCAGAUACCGUCGUAGUCUUAACCAUAAACUAUGCCGACUAGGGAUCGGAUGAUGUAAUUUUUAAUGA